AGAACGAACGCUGGCGGCACGCCUAACACAUGCAAGUCGAGCGCCCAGCAAUGGGAGCGGCGGACGGGUGAGUAACACGUGGGAACAUGCCUUUCGGUACGGAACAACUGCGGGAAACUGCAGCUAAUGCCGUAUACGCCCUUACGGGGAAAGAUUUAUCGCCGAAAGAUUGGCCCGCGUCUGAUUAGCUAGUUGGUGAGGUAACGGCUCACCAAGGCUUCGAUCAGUAGCUGGUUUGAGAGAACGACCAGCCACAUUGGGACUGAGACACGGCCCAAACUCCUACGGGAGGCAGCAGUGGGGAAUCUUGGACAAUGGGGAAACCCUGAUCCAGCGAUGCCGCGUGAGUGAUGAAGGCCUUCGGGUUGUAAAACUCGUUUCGACGGGGACGAUAAUGACGGUACCCGUAGAAGAAGCUCCGGCUAACUUCGUGCCAGCAGCCGC
This 444-nucleotide ribosomal RNA is filed under the name uncultured bacterium. RNAcentral describes it as "SSU rRNA". It matches the Rfam family "Bacterial small subunit ribosomal RNA", at positions 26 to 518 of the family's 1533-position model. The record is from RNAcentral.